Rattus norvegicus (Norway rat) is the source of this 3011-nucleotide non-coding RNA. The record is from RefSeq and is a predicted model, not a curated record. NCBI's taxonomy places the organism in Eukaryota, Metazoa, Chordata, Mammalia, Rodentia, Muridae.
CGCUCUGUAAAUGAUCAUUAGCAUUGAUAUUAGUAGGGAAUACUACACAGUCAGAGACAGGUGAGCAGAGGUGGGCACAGUGCUGGGAGGCCCCCAACACAGGGGCUUCUUGGAGUACUGGUUUAUUGUUGUCUCUUGGCAUGAUUUUGUCUGAAUAGUCGUGCUGGGUUUGUGGAGCUCUCUGAGACGCACACCUCCUGACAGCACUCUUUUCUUAUAAACAGCUCGAGCAACAAGGCAGGCAUGACAGCUACUCACCAGGAGAAACAGAGGGCUGAUGGCCACCCAGCAGAUCCUCCAAAACCAUCCCGGGCUGAAGCCCAGCAUCUCCUUCACAUCGCUGCAGAACUGAGUGAUUCCUGGAAUUACCCAAAGGACAAGUUGACAGGGCAGGGUCAACACUGGCGAUGGCAUGACCAGAGUGGGGGCUCCUCCCUGAGCCGACCCUCUUCUGCCUCCACUCACCGUGCUGUCCAAUCCCAGCGUGAUUAACAUGAGGAAGAAGAUGAUGGCAAAGAACGUGGAUGCUGGCAUGUUGGCUAUUGCCUCUGCAUACGUGAUGAAGAGGAGGCUGGGGCCUGAAACACGGGGAGAGAGGAGGCGGCUGAGACCCAUCCCACAGCAGACUGGAUCUCAGUCAGUUCACAGUUCGCAUCGCAUCAGGUCAGGCUCUGUCAGCGCCAAAUGCUGCUUCAUUCACCAUAUCGCACAUUCCGAAAAGCCAGAGGGGAGAUUAUCCACCUUGAAAAUGGCGUCUUCAGCUUGGGGGCACAGGGUAGACGUAAGGCAGCGACUACACAGGCCCAGGGGCUCCACUCGAGGCGAUGCUGUGUGGCCGUCAGGGUCAGGCCUGCUGUUUCUAAAGUGCCCAGUGACAUCCUCAGCUCAGAUUAGCAGGAAGUGUAGUAAGAACAGCCUGCUAUUUUUUAUGUCACAUUUGGGGUCCUCUGGACAGAUCUCCAGCACCUGAACACCAAGUGCCUACCACUGACCUACAUCCCCGGCCCUGAAAGUCCUUUUGACAGUGUGACAAGUCCUCAGCCCCUCGCUGGCUGACAUAGGGAUGCUGUCAUUUGGACAAAGCGCUACAUCAGGCCAAAAUGAAAAUACUUCUCUAGACCACGGGACUCUAUGUACUUGGUCUCAUUGUUUAAUAUCUGUUACAUGAUUUCCCAUGAAAACCCCAAGCAACAUGACAUCAGUAGUUAUCUGCCUACUAGACCGAAUCCCACCACAAGUGCCUAACCCUACCACACCCUUCAUAUUUUUAAGCCAUGUAUUGAGGGCCCCAGCACUGGGCACCAAGACAACCGAAUGCAUGGGUGGAUUGAGCUUACCAAGGCCUUCAAAUCUUUGAAAACUUAAAAGAACAGUUGAAAGUUUAGCUAUUCAAGAGCUGGAGAGAUGGCUCAGUGGUUAAGAGCACCCGACUGCUCUUCCAGAGGUCCUGAGUUCAAUUCCCAGCAACCACAUGGUGGCUCACAACCAUCUGUAAUGAGAUCCGAUGCCCUCUUCUGGUGUGUCUGAAGACAGCUACAAUGUACUACUCAUAUACAUAAAGUAAAUACAUCUUUUUUAAAAAGAGUAAAAGUCCCAGUCCUGUGAACAGAUCUCCUGGUCCUACCUGCGUCUUUGGCCACCUCUGACACAUCUUCAUUCCUCAUCUCCGCCAUGUAGCCAAGCACCGUGAAGAUGACGAAGCCAGAGACGAAGCUUGUCAUGCAGUUCACCACACUGGUCACCAGGGCAUCUCUGCAGUGGGAACCCAGACACGGCCAUAAGCCAGUUACAGGAGCACAUUCCUAUAAUCCCAUCCCUUGGAAGGCUGAGUGAGGCAGGAGGAUUGUGAGUUCAAGGCUCAGGAUGAACUGUAGAGCUAGGUGGGAAAGGGGACCUGAACACACACACACACACACACACACACACACCCCACUCUGAAGUAGAGAGGCACUGCCCUGGAGCCUGGUCUUAACUGGAAGGCUCCAGGAAGGGGCUUUGACCUCACAUCUGUAAAACUGAAAGUUUAAUAUUAUCUUUAAAUAAAACCAUAAGUCUGCCAAGGAGAAACAUUGAUGGUUUUAAACCUUCCUUAGAUAGCUUUAGCUGGUAUCCCAACACAAGGCCACAUUCCUUGGGGUGAGUCCACCCCCAUCUUUAGAAAUAAUUUCAUAGUUCUCUUUCUUUUUUUUUUUUUUUCUUUUCUUUUUUUCGGAGCUGGGGACCGAACCCAGGGCCAUGCGCUUGCUAGGCAAGUACUCUACCACUGAGCUAAAUCCCCAACCCCCGUAGUUAUCUUUCUAAUAGUACAAACAGACCACUGGGCCUUGCCACCAGUACAAGAAGAUUUACCGUCUAAAGCUGCAAGUGACACCCAAGCCAUCACAGGAGCGAUGCUACUGUUUGGUUGAAAUAUCGAAGCAUGACUCCACCACAAUCGUGACAUUGUUUUGUAAGCUAAAAUAGUUCAGUCCAUAGACUUUUUGUGCAUACAUAAAUAAUCUGUUUAGUUUUUCACUGUGAAGUAACUAGUGUAUGCUGCAUUUUUUGUAACCUUGCUAUAACAUGCCCUUGUCUUGUUUGAAGCAGGAUCUCACAUGACCUGUUCAAGGCAACGGUGAACUCAGUAUGUAGUUGAGAGUGGCCUUGAAUGCCUCACUCUUCAGUCUCCACCUCCCAAGUGCCGGGACUAUGGGGAUGUACCUCCCAACCCCAAGUAAGAAUAUACAUAAUCUAUAUCAGAAAAUGGAAGUGUCUUGGAGACUCCUGACCUCUGACCUCUGAGUAGCCCAGGUCAAGUCAGUUCCUGAAUGGGCACUACGUCAUGGAUGAAUGGCCAGGAGUUUGUGACACCCCUUUAGGGGCAGUACUCUGGUGGUGUGGGGACAGACAGGUUUGAGAUCAUCGUCUUCCUUGAACUGUCUUGUCUGUUCAUCCAUUCCCGAUCUUUGCUCGGUAACCCCACAUACUCACUGGUAACAGUUGUUGUUGAACUUGUUGUAGCUAGCAAAAGC